Molecule: transfer RNA, 82 nt
Filed under: Methyloversatilis sp. RAC08
Lineage: Bacteria; Pseudomonadati; Pseudomonadota; Betaproteobacteria; Nitrosomonadales; Sterolibacteriaceae
Rfam family: tRNA
About the family: Transfer RNA (tRNA) molecules are approximately 80 nucleotides in length. Their secondary structure includes four short double-helical elements and three loops (D, anti-codon, and T loops).
Source: Rfam by way of RNAcentral
GCCCAGGUGGCGAAAUUGGUAGACGCACCAGAUUUAGGUUCUGGCGCCGCAAGGCGUGGGGGUUCGAGUCCCUUCCUGGGCA